RNAcentral lists this ribosomal RNA (155 nucleotides) under Imleria badia. RNAcentral's name for it is "Xerocomus badius 5.8S ribosomal RNA". It matches the Rfam family "5.8S ribosomal RNA". Rfam says of the family: 5.8S ribosomal RNA (5.8S rRNA) is a component of the large subunit of the eukaryotic ribosome. It is transcribed by RNA polymerase I as part of the 45S precursor that also contains 18S and 28S rRNA. RNAcentral also lists the same sequence under 3 other names. Lineage: Eukaryota; Fungi; Basidiomycota; Agaricomycetes; Boletales; Boletaceae. The record is from RNAcentral.
CAACUUUCAGCAACGGAUCUCUUGGCUCUCGCAUCGAUGAAGAACGCAGCGAAUUGCGAUAAGUAAUGUGAAUUGCAGAUUUUCAGUGAAUCAUCGAAUCUUUGAACGCACCUUGCGCUCCUUGGUAUUCCGAGGAGCAUGCCUGUUUGAGUGUC